UUGAAACAAAGAUACUGUUUAUCUUUAUACAAUUGUAUGUAUUUCAAAAUAUAUAUAAAAUCAAAAAUAGGCCUUAAAGGUCACUUAUUAUGCAAAAUACACUUCACCAUGUUUCUCUAACUCUUAUAUGUGUCCCUAGUCUCUCUGUCCUCUCCAUCUUUUGCCUGCUCCACUUUUCAGAAAAUCCAUGAUCAAAUACAGGAUCAGAGUGGAUUUAGAACAAGAAACUUCACACACAUGUUUUGAGGAGCUCUGAGACUUAUUUAAGCUGGAUGAAGAGGAGGAUAAUAUGUGACCUUUAAGCGGACAUGCACCCUUACAUUUUAUUGAUUCUGUUUUCCUGUGAUAACAAGUCA
Labrus mixtus (cuckoo wrasse) is the source of this 356-nucleotide long non-coding RNA. RefSeq lists it as uncharacterized. NCBI's taxonomy places the organism in Eukaryota, Metazoa, Chordata, Actinopteri, Labriformes, Labridae. The record is from RefSeq and is a predicted model, not a curated record. The transcript is spliced from 2 exons.